RNAcentral lists this ribosomal RNA (497 nucleotides) under uncultured bacterium. Its description in RNAcentral is "partial 16S ribosomal RNA". It matches the Rfam family "Bacterial small subunit ribosomal RNA", at positions 28 to 507 of the family's 1533-position model. The record is from RNAcentral.
GAUGAACGCUGGCGGCGUGCCUAAUACAUGCAAGUCGAACGGUGAGAGGGGGUGCUUGUGCGUGUGACGGAAGAGGGGGGAAGGGGAGUAAAACAUGGGAGAAAUAUGUCUAAGACUGGGAGAAAAUCGGGAAAAAGGGGGGAAAAUAGGGGAAAAUAUUGGACCGUAUGGUGAAGGGGUGAGAGAAGGUUUUGCUGUUGGGUGUAGAUGGAGCCGGGCCGCAUUGGGUAGUAGGUGAGGUAACGGGCUACCAUGGCAACGAUUCGUGGCCCAGCCGAGAGGGGGAGCGGCCACCUCGGAACUGAGACACGGCCCCGACUCCUCCGGUAGGCAGCAGUAGGGAAGCUUCCGCAAUGGGCGAAAGCCUUACGUAGCAACGCCGCGUGAGUGAUGAAGGUCUUCGGAUCGUAAAACUCUUUUAUUAGGGAAGAACAAAAGUGUAAGUAACUAUGCACGUCUUGACGGUACCUAAUCAGAAAGCCACGGCUAACUACGUG